Molecule: small nucleolar RNA, 94 nt
Organism: Phragmites australis (common reed)
Lineage: Eukaryota; Viridiplantae; Streptophyta; Magnoliopsida; Poales; Poaceae
Product: small nucleolar RNA R24
Exons: 1
Source: RefSeq, a predicted model, not a curated record
GUUGCUGUGGUGAAGUCUUAACAUGUAAGAAGAUCCACUCAUAAAGGUUGGAUCUUCAAUGAGAUAUACCUGUUAUGCCUUGCUUCUGAGCUAC